Molecule: non-coding RNA, 159 nt
Filed under: Yoonia rosea
Lineage: Bacteria; Pseudomonadati; Pseudomonadota; Alphaproteobacteria; Rhodobacterales; Paracoccaceae
Also listed under: 1 other name
Source: RNAcentral
CGGGUUCUGCGCCUCUCGUAUACCAUAGGUACAAAUCCAGUGGCCUUAAGCAAAUCCGAGGGAGCUGGCUCUGUUCUGACCCUGGUCUGAUUACCUGGCGCCCACCUGUACAUACAGGUCCUCGGGAUUAGUUACCUCUACGGUUGCCGUGGUUCCCGU